CCUACGGGAGGCAGCAGUAGGGAAUAUUGCUCAAUGGGGGAAACCCUGAAGCAGCAACGCCGCGUGGAGGAUGAAUGUUUUCGGAUUGUAAACUCCUUUUGUUAGAGAAGAUAAUGACGGUAUCUAACGAAUAAGCACCGGCUAACUCCGUUCCAGCAGCCGCGGUAAUACGGAGGCUGCAAGCUUUACUCGGAAUCACUGGGCGUAAAGCGCGCGUAGGCGGGAUAGCAAGUCAGAUGUGAAAUCCUAUGGCUUAACCAUAGAACUGCAUUUGAAACUGUUAUUCUAGAGUAUGGGAGAGGUAGGUGGAAUUCUUGGGGUAGGGGUAAAAUCCGUAGAGAUCAAGAGGAAUACUGAUUGCGAAGGCGACCUGCUAGAACAUAACUGACGCUGAUGCGCGAAAGCGUGGGGAGCAAACAGGAUUAGAUACCCUAGUAGUC
Molecule: ribosomal RNA, 440 nt
Filed under: uncultured bacterium
Lineage: Bacteria
Description: partial 16S ribosomal RNA
Rfam family: Bacterial small subunit ribosomal RNA
Source: RNAcentral